Transfer RNA from Prochlorococcus marinus, 74 nucleotides. It matches the Rfam family "tRNA". From Rfam's summary of the family: Transfer RNA (tRNA) molecules are approximately 80 nucleotides in length. Their secondary structure includes four short double-helical elements and three loops (D, anti-codon, and T loops). NCBI's taxonomy places the organism in Bacteria, Bacillati, Cyanobacteriota, Cyanophyceae, Synechococcales, Prochlorococcaceae. The record is from Rfam.
CGGGGCGUGGCGCAGCUUGGUAGCGCACUACUUUGGGGUAGUAGGGGUCGUGGGUUCAAAUCCCGCCGCUCCGA